RNAcentral lists this ribosomal RNA (527 nucleotides) under uncultured Pseudomonas sp. RNAcentral describes it as "bacterial SSU rRNA". It matches the Rfam family "Bacterial small subunit ribosomal RNA", at positions 39 to 568 of the family's 1533-position model. The record is from RNAcentral. Lineage: Bacteria; Pseudomonadati; Pseudomonadota; Gammaproteobacteria; Pseudomonadales; Pseudomonadaceae.
GCGGCAGGCCUAACACAUGCAAGUCGAGCGGAAGGUUCUUCGGAACCGAGAGCGGCGGACGGGUGAGGAGAGCGUGGGAAUCUGCCUGUAGAUGGGGGAUAGCCCGGAGAAAUCCGGAUUAAUACCGCAUAAUACCUGAGGGUUAAAGUGGAGGAUCGCAAGACUUCACGUCUACAGAUGAGCCCACGUCAGAUUAGCUAGUUGGUAGGGUAAAGGCCUACCAAGGCGACGAUCUGUAGCUGGCCUGAGAGGGUGGCCAGCCACACUGGAACUGAGACACGGUCCAGACUCCUACGGGAGGCAGCAGUGGGGAAUAUUGGACAAUGGGCGCAAGCCUGAUCCAGCCAUGCCGCGUGUGUGAAGAAGGCCUUCGGGUUGUAAAGCACUUUAAGUUGGGAGGAAGGCUCGAUGGAUAAUACCCAUCGGAAUUGACGUUACCAACAGAAUAAGCACCGCUAAUUCCGUGCCAGCAGCCGCGGUAAUACGGAAGGUGCGAGCGUUAAUCGGAAUUACUGGGCGUAAAGCGC